UACGGAGGGGGCAAGCGUUGUUCGGAUUUACUGGGCGUAAAGCGCACGUAGGCGGAUUUUUAAGUCAGUGGUGAAAUCCUGGAGCUCAACUCCAGAACUGCCUUUGAUACUGGCAAUCUAGAGUCCGGAAGAGGUAAGUGGAACUCCUAGUGUAGAGGUGGAAUUCGUAGAUAUUAGGAAGAACACCAGUGGCGAAGGCGGCUUACUGGUCCGGUACUGACGCUGAGGUGCGAAAGCGUGGGGAGCAAACAGG
Molecule: ribosomal RNA, 253 nt
Filed under: uncultured bacterium
Lineage: Bacteria
Description: partial 16S ribosomal RNA
Rfam family: Bacterial small subunit ribosomal RNA
Source: RNAcentral